Molecule: ribosomal RNA, 1998 nt
Filed under: human gut metagenome
Description: bacterial LSU rRNA
Rfam family: Bacterial large subunit ribosomal RNA
Source: RNAcentral
AAUCGAACUCGGAGAUAGCUGGUUCUCCCCGAAAUAGCUUUAGGGCUAGCCUCGAUUUAGAUUACCGGGGGUAGAGCACUGAAUGGGCUAGGGGGCCACAAAGCUUACCGAACCCUAUCAAACUUCGAAUACCGGAUAAUUGAUGAUCGGGAGUCAGACAGUGUGAGAUAAGUUUCAUUGUCGAAAGGGAAACAGCCCAGAUCUACGACUAAGGUCCCAAAGUUCAAGUUAAGUGGAAAAGGAUGUGCAAUUGCGCAGACAACCAGGAUGUUGGCUUAGUAGCAGCCAUUCAUUCAAAGAGUGCGUAAUAGCUCACUGGUCGAGUGAUUGUGCGCCGAAAAUGUAACGGGGCUAAACUUGACACCGAAGUCUAGGCAGAAGGAAACUUCUGGGUAGGGGAGCAACGUGUACGGGCAGAAGCAGAAGCGGAAGCGACUGUGGACUGUACAGGAGAGAGAAUGCCGGCAUGAGUAGCGAGAGCAAAGUGAGAAUCUUUGCCGUCGAAAGCCUAAGGUUUCCUGAGGAAGGCUCGUCCUCUCAGGGUAAGUCGGGACCUAAGCCGAGGACAAUAGUCGUAGGCGAUGGACAAUCGGUUAAUAUUCCGAUACCGCCGAGCAACCGGAUGCAGUGACACAGAAGGAUAGGCAGAGCGUGGCGAUGGUAGACCACGUCCAAGCAGUGAGGCUGUUGUGUAGUGAAGUACGCACAACGGAAGGCUGGGCUGUGAUGGGGAACGAUUACGAUCGGUAAGCUGCUGAAUUCACGCUGGCGAGAAAAGCUGCUACGAAGCGAAGGCGCCCGUACCGCAAACCGACACAGGUAGGCGAGGAGAGAAUCCUAAGACGAGCGGGAGAACCCUUGUUAAGGAACUCGGCAAAAUGACUCCGUAACUUAGGGAGAAGGAGUGCCCAGGAAUGGGCCGCAGAGAAUAGACCCAAGCGACUGUUUACCAAAAACACAGGUCUGUGCGAAGUAGAGAUACGACGUAUACGGGCUGACACCUGCCCAGUGCCGGAAGGUUAAGGGGAAAUGUUAGGGCAACCGAAGCAUGGAACUUAAGCCCCGGUGAACGGCGGCCGUAACUAUAACGGUCCUAAGGUAGCGAAAUUCCUUGUCGGGUAAGUUCCGACCCGCACGAAUGGUGUAACGAUUUGGGUACUGUCUCAACAAGGGACCCGGCGAAAUUGUAGUAUGUGUGAAGAUGCACAUUACCCGCGAUAGGACGGAAAGACCCCGUAGAGCUUUACUGUAGUUUAACAUUGGAUUCCGGUAACAUAUGCACAGGAUAGGUGGGAGGCGGAGAAGCAGUGAUUUCGGUUGCUGCAGAGCCGACGUUGGGAUACCACUCUUGUGUUACUGGGGUUCUAACCUGUGGCCGUGAUCCGGCACAGGAACAGUGUUAGAUGGGCAGUUUGACUGGGGCGGUCGCCUCCAAAAGAGUAACGGAGGCGUCCAAAGGUUCCCUCAGAAUGGUUGGAAACCAUUCGAAGAGUACAAAGGCAGAAGGGAGCCUGACUGCGAGACCGACAGGUCGAGCAGGGACGAAAGUCGGGCUUAGUGAUCCGGCGGUAUAGAGUGGAAUUGCCGUCGCUCAACGGAUAAAAGCUACCUCGGGGAUAACAGGCUUAUCUCCCCCAAGAGUCCACAUCGACGGGGAGGUUUGGCACCUCGAUGUCGGCUCGUCGCAUCCUGGGGCUGGAUUAGGUCCCAAGGGUUUGGCUGUUCGCCAAUUAAAGCGGCACGCGAGCUGGGUUCAGAACGUCGUGAGACAGUUCGGUCCCUAUCCAUCGUGGGCGCAGGAGAUUUGAGAAGAGCUGUCCUCAGUACGAGAGGACCGGGAUGGACGCACCAAGGGUGUAUCAGUUGUCACGCCAGUGGCACAGCUGGGUAGCCAAGUGCGGAUCGGAUAAACGCUGAAGGCAUCUAAGCGUGAAGCCGACUUCAAGAUAAGAUCUCCCAUCCGCAAGGAGUAAGGCCCCAUGUAGACCACAUGGUUGA